This 803-nucleotide ribosomal RNA is filed under the name Microbacterium invictum. RNAcentral describes it as "bacterial SSU rRNA". It matches the Rfam family "Bacterial small subunit ribosomal RNA", at positions 62 to 877 of the family's 1533-position model. Lineage: Bacteria; Bacillati; Actinomycetota; Actinomycetes; Micrococcales; Microbacteriaceae. The record is from RNAcentral.
UCGAACGGUGAAGGAGAGCUUGCUCUCCGGAUCAGUGGCGAACGGGUGAGUAACACGUGAGCAACCUGCCCCGGACUCUGGGAUAACAGUUGGAAACAGCUGCUAAUACCGGAUACGAGCUGCGAAGGCAUCUUCAGCAGCUGGAAAGAACUUCGGUCCGGGAUGGGCUCGCGGCCUAUCAGCUAGUUGGUGAGGUAAUAGCUCACCAAGGCGUCGACGGGUAGCCGGCCUGAGAGGGUGACCGGCCACACUGGGACUGAGACACGGCCCAGACUCCUACGGGAGGCAGCAGUGGGGAAUAUUGCACAAUGGGCGAAAGCCUGAUGCAGCAACGCCGCGUGAGGGACGACGGCCUUCGGGUUGUAAACCUCUUUUAGCAGGGAAGAAGCGAAAGUGACGGUACCUGCAGAAAAAGCACCGGCUAACUACGUGCCAGCAGCCGCGGUAAUACGUAGGGUGCAAGCGUUAUCCGGAAUUAUUGGGCGUAAAGAGCUCGUAGGCGGUUUGUCGCGUCUGCUGUGAAAACUGGAGGCUCAACCUCCAGCCUGCAGUGGGUACGGGCAGACUAGAGUGCGGUAGGGGAGAUUGGAAUUCCUGGUGUAGCGGUGGAAUGCGCAGAUAUCAGGAGGAACACCGAUGGCGAAGGCAGAUCUCUGGGCCGUAACUGACGCUGAGGAGCGAAAGGGUGGGGAGCAACAGGCUUAGAUACCCUGGUAGUCCACCCCGUAAACGUUGGGAACUAGUUGUGGGGUCCAUUCCACGGAUUCCGUGACGCAGCUGACGCAUUAAGUUCCCCGCCUGGG